GAUGAACGCUGGCGGCGUGCCUAAUACAUGCAAGUCGAGCGAACAGACGAGGAGCUUGCUCCUCUGACGUUAGCGGCGGACGGGUGAGUAACACGUGGAUAACCUACCUAUAAGACUGGGAUAACUUCGGGAAACCGGAGCUAAUACCGGAUAAUAUAUUGAACCACAUGGUUCAAUAGUGAAAGACGGUUUUGCUGUCACUUAUAGAUGGUUCCGCGCCGCAUUAGCUAGUUGGUAAGGUAACGGCUUACCAAGGCAACGAUGCGUAGCCGACCUGAGAGGGUGAUCGGCCAAACUGGACCUGAGACACGGUCCAGACUCCUACGGGAGGCAGCAGAAGGGAAUCUUCCGCAAUGGGCGAAAGCCGGACGGAGCAACGCCGCGUGAGGGAUGAAGGUCUUCGGAUCGUAAAACUCUGUGAUUAGGGAAGAACAAAUGUGGAAGUAACUAUGCACGUCUUGACGGUACCUAACCAGAAAGCCACGGCUAACUACGUG
This 497-nucleotide ribosomal RNA is filed under the name uncultured bacterium. Its description in RNAcentral is "partial 16S ribosomal RNA". It matches the Rfam family "Bacterial small subunit ribosomal RNA", at positions 28 to 507 of the family's 1533-position model. The record is from RNAcentral.